UGGGGAAUUUUGGACAAUGGGCGAAAGCCUGAUCCAGCAAUGCCGCGUGUGUGAAGAAGGCCUUCGGGUUGUAAAGCACUUUUGUCCGGAAAGAAAUCCUUGGCUCUAAUACAGUCGGGGGAUGACGGUACCGGAAGAAUAAGCACCGGCUAACUACGUGCCAGCAGCCGCGGUAAUACGUAGGGUGCAAGCGUUAAUCGGAAUUACUGGGCGUAAAGCGUGCGCAGGCGGUUUGCUAAGACCGAUGUGAAAUCCCCGGGCUCAACCUGGGAACUGCAUUGGUGACUGGCAGGCUAGAGUAUGGCAGAGGGGGGUAGAAUUCCACAUGUAGCAGUGAAAUGCGUAGAGAUGUGGAGGAAUACCGAUGGCGAAGGCAGCCCCCUGGGCAAUACUGACGCUCAUGCACGAAAGCGUGGGGAGCAAACAGGAUUAGAUACCCUGGUAGUCCGCGCCCUAAAACGAUGUCAACUAGUUGUUGGGGAUUCAUUUCCUUAGUAACGUAGCUAACGCGUGAAGUUGACCGCCUGGGGAGUACGGUCGCAAGAUUAAAACUCAAAUGAAUUGACGGGGUCAUAGCUGUUUCCU
This 585-nucleotide ribosomal RNA is filed under the name uncultured bacterium. Its description in RNAcentral is "partial 16S ribosomal RNA". It matches the Rfam family "Bacterial small subunit ribosomal RNA", at positions 355 to 1375 of the family's 1533-position model. The record is from RNAcentral.